This is a small nuclear RNA of Bubalus bubalis (water buffalo), 106 nucleotides long. The record is from RefSeq and is a predicted model, not a curated record. Lineage: Eukaryota; Metazoa; Chordata; Mammalia; Artiodactyla; Bovidae.
GUUCUCACUUCAGCAACACAUAUACUAAAAUUGCAAAGAUACAGAGAAGAUUAACAUGGCUCCUGUGUAAGGAUGACACUAAAAUUUUGUUGUUCUACUGAUAUAA